UACGAAGGGGGCUAGCGUUGCUCGGAAUUACUGGGCGUAAAGAGCGCGCAGGCGGUCGUUCAAGUCGAGUGUGAAAGCCCCCGGCUCAACUGGGGAGGGUCAUUCGAUACUGAUCGACUCGAAGGCAGGAGAGGGAAGCGGAAUUCCCGGUGUAGUGGUGAAAUGCGUAGAUAUCGGGAGGAACACCAGUGGCGAAGGCGGCUUCCUGGCCUGUUCUUGACGCUGAGGCGCGAAAGCUAGGAGAGCAAACGGG
Molecule: ribosomal RNA, 253 nt
Filed under: uncultured prokaryote
Description: partial 16S ribosomal RNA
Rfam family: Bacterial small subunit ribosomal RNA
Source: RNAcentral